Molecule: ribosomal RNA, 520 nt
Filed under: uncultured bacterium
Lineage: Bacteria
Description: bacterial SSU rRNA
Rfam family: Bacterial small subunit ribosomal RNA
Source: RNAcentral
CCGCAAUGGGCGAAACUGACGGAGCGACGCCGCGUGUGCGAUGAAGGCCUUCGGGUUGUAAAGCACUUUGGUGGGGGAGGAAAGCCGAAAGGUUUGACCUAUCCCAAGAACAAGCUCGGGCUAAGUUCGUGCCAGCAGCCGCGGUAAGACGAACCGAGCGAACGUUGUUCGGAAUCACUGGGCUUAAAGGGCGCGUAGGCGGGUUCCCAAGUCUGUGGUGAAAUCCUCCAGCUUAACUGGAGAACUGCCGCGGAUACUGGGGGUCUCGAGGACGGUAGGGGCGUGCGGAACAGUAGGUGGAGCGGUGAAAUGCGUUGAUAUCUACUGGAACUCCGGUGGCGAAGGCGGCACGCUGGACCGUUUCUGACGCUGAGGCGCGAAAGCCAGGGGAGCAAACGGGAUUAGAUACCCCGGUAGUCCUGGCCCUAAACGAUGGGCACUAGAUAGCAGCCUUCACAUGGGGUUGCUGUCGGAGCAAAAGUGUUAAGUGCCCCGCCUGGGGAGUAUGGUCGCAAGGCUG